This 348-nucleotide ribosomal RNA is filed under the name Staphylococcus aureus. Its description in RNAcentral is "partial 23S ribosomal RNA". It matches the Rfam family "Bacterial large subunit ribosomal RNA", at positions 1217 to 1561 of the family's 2925-position model. The record is from RNAcentral. Lineage: Bacteria; Bacillati; Bacillota; Bacilli; Caryophanales; Staphylococcaceae.
UUUGGACAAUGGUAGGAGAGCGUUCUAAGGGCGUUGAAGCAUGAUCGUAAGGACAUGUGGAGCGCUUAGAAGUGAGAAUGCCGGUGUGAGUAGCGAAAGACGGGUGAGAAUCCCGUCCACCGAUUGACUAAGGUUUCCAGAGGAAGGCUCGUCCGCUCUGGGUUAGUCGGGUCCUAAGCUGAGGCCGACAGGCGUAGGCGAUGGAUAACAGGUUGAUAUUCCUGUACCACCUAUAAUCGUUUUAAUCGAUGGGGGGACGCAGUAGGAUAGGCGAAGCGUGCGAUUGGAUUGCACGUCUAAGCAGUAAGGCUGAGUAUUAGGCAAAUCCGGUACUCGUUAAGGCUGAGC